RNAcentral lists this ribosomal RNA (442 nucleotides) under uncultured bacterium. Its description in RNAcentral is "partial 16S ribosomal RNA". It matches the Rfam family "Bacterial small subunit ribosomal RNA", at positions 338 to 795 of the family's 1533-position model. The record is from RNAcentral.
CCUACGGGAGGCAGCAGUAGGGAAUCUUUCACAAUGGGCGAAAGCCUGAUGGAGCAACGCCGCGUGCAGGAUGAAGGCCUUCGGGUUGUAAACUGCUUUUAUAAGCGAGAAAUAUGAUGGUAACUUAUGAAUAAGGAUCGGCUAACUACGUGCCAGCAGCCGCGGUCAUACGUAGGAUCCGAGCAUUAUCCGGAGUGACUGGGGGUAAAGAGUUGCGUAGGUGGCAUAAUAAGUAGCUAGUGAAAUCUGGUGGCUCAACCAUUCAGACUAUUAGCUAAACUGUUAAGCUCGAGACCGUUAGGGGUAACUGGAAUUUCUAGUGUAGGAGUGAAAUCCGUAGAUAUUAGAAGGAACACCAAUAGCGUAGGCAGGUUGCUGGGACGGUUCUGACACUAAGGCACGAAAGCGUAGGGAGCAAACGGGAUUAGAUACCCGUGUAGUC